AGAGCGAACGCUGGCGGCAUGCUUAACACAUGCAAGUCGCACGGGCAGGGGAAACCCUGUCAGUGGCGGACGGGUGAGUAACGCGUAGGUAUCUAUCCUUGGGUGGGGGACAACUGUGGGAAACUACAGCUAAUACCGCAUGAUGACCGAGGUCCAAAGGCCGCAAGGCCGCCUGGGGAGGAGCCUGCGUACGAUUAGCUAGUUGGUGGGGUAACUGCCUACCAAGGCGACGAUCGUUAGCUGGUCUGAGAGGAUGAUCAGCCACAUUGGGACUGAGACACGGCCCAAACUCCUACGGGAGGCAGCAGUGGGGAAUAUUGGACAAUGGGCGCAAGCCUGAUCCAGCAAUGCCGCGUGGGUGAAGAAGGUCUUCGGAUUGUAAAGCCCUUUCGACGGGGACGAUGAUGACGGUACCGUAGAAGAAGCCCGGCUAACUUCGCGCCAGCAGCCGC
Molecule: ribosomal RNA, 452 nt
Filed under: uncultured bacterium
Lineage: Bacteria
Description: SSU rRNA
Rfam family: Bacterial small subunit ribosomal RNA
Source: RNAcentral